Otolemur garnettii (small-eared galago) is the source of this 404-nucleotide long non-coding RNA. RefSeq lists it as uncharacterized. The record is from RefSeq and is a predicted model, not a curated record. The transcript has 3 exons. NCBI's taxonomy places the organism in Eukaryota, Metazoa, Chordata, Mammalia, Primates, Galagidae.
AGUAGACAACAGGAACAAAUGGAGUGAAUUAUUAACCAUGUACUAUGAGGCUGUCUUAUAUUUGAGGAACUGGGCAUAUGUAAGUAAUAAAGUACAGCCCUUUCUGCCAAGUAUUUCAGAAUUCCAGCUAAAAAAGAUGGCAAGCAACAAUUUUCUGGCAAGGAAGAAAGGGGAGAAAAAAAUUUCCCGUUAGGAAAGAAAAGCGUCUACCACAAGCACUAUAAUUAUAACAAAACAUGACAUCGUUGUGAAGCCUCAUGUAAAGAAUUAUGAAAGGAAACCCAUUCUGUUUGGAUUAUGUUUGUAUUCGUAGCUUUUAAAUUUGUGGCUGGUGAAUAAUUAAAAAGUCACAAAGAACAGAAAGACUUAUUGCUGUAGAAUGUUAUUGCAUUUGAUUACCUUGA